CGUGUAGGUGGCUUGGCAAGUUGGGUGUGAAAGCCCGGGGCCCAACCCCGGAAUUGCACUCAAAACUGCCAGACUAGAGUCUCGGAGAGGAAGGCGGAAUUCCCGGUGUAGAGGUGAAAUUCGUAGAUAUCGGGAGGAACACCAGUGGCGAAGGCGGCCUUCUGGACGAUGACUGACACUGAGACGCGAAAGCGUGGGGAGCAAACAGGAUUAGAUACCCUGGUAGUCC
RNAcentral lists this ribosomal RNA (229 nucleotides) under uncultured bacterium. RNAcentral describes it as "partial 16S ribosomal RNA". It matches the Rfam family "Bacterial small subunit ribosomal RNA", at positions 568 to 796 of the family's 1533-position model. The record is from RNAcentral.